GCAGUCGGGCGUUCCGUCGCGGGUCGGCAUGAGCCGGCAUGAGGAAAGUCCGGGCAACACAGAGCACCAUGUUUCCUAACAGGAAGCCGGCAGCGAUGCCGGAGCCAGUGUGACAGAAAACGACCGCUUCUGAUCCUACGGAUCGGGAGUAAGGGUGAAAAGGCGGGGUAAGAGCCCACCGGGCUUUAUGGCGACAUGAGGCGCCGCACAUCUCAUGGGUUGCAAGGCCAAGUAUACCGGCAUUCAAGGAUUGCUCGUCCAUUGCCGGGGGGUAGGCUGCUUGAGCCAUGCGGCAACGCAUGGCGUAGAUAAAUGACGGAACGGCCCUGAUGGCCCUCUUCGGAGGAAGUGUCAGGCCGACAUAACCCGGCUUACAGUCCGGCUGCACGG
Molecule: RNase P RNA, 390 nt
Filed under: Paramuribaculum sp.
Lineage: Bacteria; Pseudomonadati; Bacteroidota; Bacteroidia; Bacteroidales; Muribaculaceae
Description: RNase P RNA component class A
Rfam family: Bacterial RNase P class A
About the family: Ribonuclease P (RNase P) is a ubiquitous endoribonuclease, found in archaea, bacteria and eukarya as well as chloroplasts and mitochondria. Its best characterised activity is the generation of mature 5'-ends of tRNAs by cleaving the 5'-leader elements of precursor-tRNAs.
Source: RNAcentral